GUCUAUGGCAAUGCCACUCUGAACACACCCGAUCCCAUCUGAUCUCGGAAGCUAAGCAAGGUCAGACCUGGUUAGUACUUGGAUGGGAGACCACCUAGGAAGACCAGGUGCUGUAGGCG
This 119-nucleotide ribosomal RNA is filed under the name Pteropus alecto (black flying fox). Lineage: Eukaryota; Metazoa; Chordata; Mammalia; Chiroptera; Pteropodidae. The record is from RNAcentral.